CAACUUACCUGGCAGGGGAAAACCAUGACCACUAAGGUGGAUUUCCUAAAGUGCACCUGGGGACAGCUGCUUUUCUGGCAUGGGGCAGUACCCACUGAGGUUUUGGCUUUAUGCCCACUUUGUGGAAAUGGGAGGCUUCUCCAUAGUUUGCUCCUA
Alligator sinensis (Chinese alligator) is the source of this 156-nucleotide small nuclear RNA. RefSeq annotates it as U1 spliceosomal RNA. The transcript has a single exon. The record is from RefSeq and is a predicted model, not a curated record. NCBI's taxonomy places the organism in Eukaryota, Metazoa, Chordata, Crocodylia, Alligatoridae.